Molecule: transfer RNA, 69 nt
Filed under: Marmota monax (woodchuck)
Lineage: Eukaryota; Metazoa; Chordata; Mammalia; Rodentia; Sciuridae
Rfam family: tRNA
About the family: Transfer RNA (tRNA) molecules are approximately 80 nucleotides in length. Their secondary structure includes four short double-helical elements and three loops (D, anti-codon, and T loops). Further hydrogen bonds mediate the characteristic L-shaped molecular structure. tRNAs have two regions of fundamental functional importance: the anti-codon, which is responsible for specific mRNA codon recognition, and the 3' end, to which the tRNAs corresponding amino acid is attached (by aminoacyl-tRNA synthetases). tRNAs cope with the degeneracy of the genetic code in two manners: having more than one tRNA (with a specific anti-codon) for a particular amino acid; and 'wobble' base-pairing, i.e. permitting non-standard base-pairing at the 3rd anti-codon position.
Source: Rfam by way of RNAcentral
GGGGUUGUGGCUCAGUGGUAGAGCACUUGCCUUGCAUGUAUGACGCACUGGGUUCAAUUCUCAACACCA